GUGGGGAAUAUUGGACAAUGGGCGAAAGCCUGAUCCAGCCAUGCCGCGUGUGUGAAGAAGGUCUUCGGAUUGUAAAGCACUUUAAGUUGGGAGGAAGGGCAGUAAGUUAAUACCUUGCUGUUUUGACGUUACCGACAGAAUAAGCACCGGCUAACUUCGUGCCAGCAGCCGCGGUAAUACGAAGGGUGCAAGCGUUAAUCGGAAUUACUGGGCGUAAAGCGCGCGUAGGUGGUUUUGUAAGUUGGAGGUGAAAUCCCCGGGCUCAACCUGGGAACUGCCUCCAAAACUGCAUGACUAGAGUACGGUAGAGGGUAGUGGAAUUUCCUGUGUAGCGGUGAAAUGCGUAGAUAUAGGAAGGAACACCAGUGGCAAAGGCGACUACCUGGACUGAUACUGACACUGAGGUGCGAAAGCGUGGGGAGCAAACAGGAUUAGAUACCCUUGUAGUCC
This 450-nucleotide ribosomal RNA is filed under the name uncultured bacterium. Its description in RNAcentral is "partial 16S ribosomal RNA". It matches the Rfam family "Bacterial small subunit ribosomal RNA", at positions 354 to 796 of the family's 1533-position model. The record is from RNAcentral.